GACGAACGCUGGCGGCGUGCUUAACACAUGCAAGUCGAACGGAAAGGCCCUGCUUUUGUGGGGUGCUCGAGUGGCGAACGGGUGAGUAACACGUGAGUAACCUGCCCUUGACUUUGGGAUAACUUCAGGAAACUGGGGCUAAUACCGGAUAGGAGCUCCUGCUGCAUGGUGGGGGUUGGAAAGUUUCGGCGGGUGGGGAUGGACUCGCGGCUUAUCAGCUUGUUGGUGGGGUAGUGGCUUACCAAGGCUUUGACGGGUAGCCGGCCUGAGAGGGUGACCGGCCACAUUGGGACUGCGAUACGGCCCAGACUCCUACGGGAGGCAGAAGUGGGGAAUAUUGCACAAUGGGCGGAAGCCUGAUGCAGCAACGCCGCGUGCGGGAUGACGGCCUUCGGGUUGUAAACCGCUUUCGCCUGUGACGAAGCGUGAGUGACGGUAAUGGGUAAAGAAGCACCGGCUAACUACGUG
RNAcentral lists this ribosomal RNA (468 nucleotides) under uncultured bacterium. RNAcentral describes it as "partial 16S ribosomal RNA". It matches the Rfam family "Bacterial small subunit ribosomal RNA", at positions 28 to 507 of the family's 1533-position model. The record is from RNAcentral.